Molecule: ribosomal RNA, 253 nt
Filed under: uncultured bacterium
Lineage: Bacteria
Description: partial 16S ribosomal RNA
Rfam family: Bacterial small subunit ribosomal RNA
Source: RNAcentral
UACGAAGGGGACUAGCGUUGUUCGGAAUCACUGGGCGUAAAGCGCACGUAGGCGGAUUUGUAAGUCAGGGGUGAAAUCCCGGGGCUCAACCUCGGAACUGCCUUUGAUACUGCGAAUCUUGAGUCCGAUAGAGGUGGGUGGAAUUCCUAGUGUAGAGGUGAAAUUCGUAGAUAUUAGGAAGAACACCGGGGGCGAAGGCGGCCCACUGGAUCGGUACUGACGCUGAGGUGCGAAAGCGUGGGGAGCAAACAGG